AUGUUCACUUUGCAACAAACCAAAAGAACAGUGCCCUCUGUAUAUGAACUCAAGUCAUCUAAACAAGUUGAUGGCUUGCCAGACUCUGUUUGUCUGGUCACAGAUUUUCAAUUUCCUAAUACAAUUCUGAAGUUAGAUGGAAGCAGAACCAUAGACCUAAAUACAACAGCUGCACUGGAUAAGUCCGAAAAUGAUGUGUGGAGAUACAGUACAGUUGUAUGGAAUGAUGACAACCCUUCUAAAAGCCUUUCUUGUAACAUGCAGUAUGGGGAAAACUAUGUUUAUCCAGACACAAUCACAAAUGAAACUACUGAGCAAUGUUUAUCAGAAUCUGUUGCCAGGAAUUUUAAAACAGAUAUAAGCCUAAACAGAUUGUCAUUUUCAAUACUUGGAUUAAGGUUCCUAACCAUCAAGGGAAUACUAUUUAAUGUUAUAACAACAAUAAAACUAUGGUAUCCCAAGCUGUAA
Non-coding RNA from Nanorana parkeri, 468 nucleotides. NCBI's taxonomy places the organism in Eukaryota, Metazoa, Chordata, Amphibia, Anura, Dicroglossidae. The record is from the annotation of a RefSeq genome assembly.